AAUAUCAAAGGUGAGCCAGUACAGGAUGGACCCGCGUCUGAUUAGCUAGUUGGUAAGGUAACGGCUUACCAAGGCGACGAUCAGUAGCCGACCUGGGAGGGUGAUCGGCCACAUUGGAACUGAGACACGGUCCAAACUCCUACGGGAGGCAGCAGUGGGGAAUAUUGCACAAUGGGCGAAAGCCUGAUGCAGCAACGCCGCGUGAGUGAUGAAGGCCUUCGGGUCGUAAAACUCUGUCCUCAAGGAAGAUAAUGACGGUACUUGAGGAGGAAGCCCCGGCUAACUACGUGCCAGCAGCCGCGGUAAUACGUAGGGGGCUAGCGUUAUCCGGAUUUACUGGGCGUAAAGGGUGCGUAGGCGGUCUUUCAAGUCAGGAGUGAAAGGCUACGGCUCAACCGUAGUAAGCUCUUGAAACUGGGAGACUUGAGUGCAGGAGAGGAGAGUGGAAUUCCUAGUGUAGCGGUGAAAUGCGUAGAUAUUAGGAGGAACACCAGUUGCGAAGGCGGCUCUCUGGACUGUAACUGACGCUGAGGCACGAAAGCGUGGGGAGCAAACAGGAUUAGAUACCCUGGUAGUCCACGCUGUAAACGAUGAGUACUAGGUGUCGGGGGUUACCCCC
Molecule: ribosomal RNA, 619 nt
Filed under: Clostridioides difficile
Lineage: Bacteria; Bacillati; Bacillota; Clostridia; Peptostreptococcales; Peptostreptococcaceae
Description: bacterial SSU rRNA
Rfam family: Bacterial small subunit ribosomal RNA
Source: RNAcentral